Molecule: unclassified non-coding RNA, 155 nt
Filed under: uncultured fungus
Lineage: Eukaryota; Fungi
Description: sequence contains ITS1
Source: RNAcentral
CUAAAGUAUUAACUUACUUGCCCAAACCGUGAACUGUUUUACCCCUCUCGACGGCUUCUUUUUAGUUCUGAACUAAAGGAAGUCUCCGAGUAGGCCCAUGUUUACUUAAACUUUUGACUAAAAAUUCAUACUACUAGUGUUAUUGUAAAAAUACA